Molecule: ribosomal RNA, 468 nt
Filed under: uncultured bacterium
Lineage: Bacteria
Description: partial 16S ribosomal RNA
Rfam family: Bacterial small subunit ribosomal RNA
Source: RNAcentral
GACGAACGCUGGCGGCGUGCUUAACACAUGCAAGUCGAACGGAGAGGCCCUGCUUUUGUGGGGUGCUCGAGUUGCGAACGGGUGAGUAACACGUGAGUAACCUGCCCUUGACUUUGGGAUAACUUCAUGAAACUGGGGCUAAUACCGGAUAGGAGCUCCUGCUGCAUGGUGGGGGUUGGAAAGUUUCGGCGGUUGGGGAUGGACUCGCGGCUUAUCAGCUUGUUGGUGGGGUAGUGGCUUACCAAGGCUUUGACGGGUAGCCGGCCUGAGAGGGUGACCGGCCAAAUUGGGACUGAGAUACGGCCCAGACUCCUACGGGAGGCAGCAGUGGGGAAUAUUGAAAAAUGGGAGGAAGCCUGAUGCAGCAACGCCGCGUGCGGGAUGACGGCCUUCGGGUUGUAAACCGCUUUCGCCUGUGACGAAGCGUGAGUGACGGUAAUGGGUAAAGAAGCACCGGCUAACUACGUG